This is a long non-coding RNA of Hippocampus comes (tiger tail seahorse), 530 nucleotides long. RefSeq lists it as uncharacterized. Lineage: Eukaryota; Metazoa; Chordata; Actinopteri; Syngnathiformes; Syngnathidae. The record is from RefSeq and is a predicted model, not a curated record. The transcript is spliced from 2 exons.
CUUGUAGAAGAGGAGGUUCCCCUUCAGAACAAACCAACGCUUGUGAUAGGAAGGCCUGAUGUCACCCUGCAGGACAAUGCUGUCGAAAUUGUGAACCAUCCGCAACUUAAAGCUCCGCGCGGUAUGAGAAGGACGAGUUUCGAAGGACGUCAGAAUAAGUCUCAUGAAAAAUACAAAUACGCCAUAGACUGUGUGUGAGUAAACUAUUCGGACACGGUCGUUUCCAUAAAAAUGGACACUUCUGAAUUUGGCUUACACAGGUUCGGAGUUGUUUGUGUGUACUUACUACUCACCUGUGGGAAGGACGAAAAUGUAGUUCGGGUUUCGUGCAAAGGUGUUGAGCCAAUCACUUCCGGGUUGUGGAGCUGGCUGUGACGACAAAAUGGAACCCUCCGAGCAACAAAAUAGAAAACCGUGCACGUUUGAUGCCGUUUUGUAAAUUAAAGUGGUCCUUGGACAACUAUAUAACUGUAGCUAGAGGUAAAGUGUUUCCUCAAUAAUAAUAAAAGUACCAAAUGGCACCACCAAAA